RNAcentral lists this ribosomal RNA (491 nucleotides) under uncultured bacterium. RNAcentral's name for it is "partial 16S ribosomal RNA". It matches the Rfam family "Bacterial small subunit ribosomal RNA", at positions 28 to 507 of the family's 1533-position model. The record is from RNAcentral.
GAUGAACGCUGGCUACAGGCUUAACACAUGCAAGUCGAGGGGAAACGCCGGGGAAGCUUGCUUCCCCGGGCGUCGACCGGCGCACGGGUGAGUAACGCGUAUCCAACCUGCCUCUGACUGAGGGAUAACCCGUCGAAAGUCGGCCUAAUACCUCAUGGCAUCGUCUGCGGGCAUCCAACGACGAUUAAAGAUUUCAUCGGUCAGGGAUGGGGAUGCGUCUGAUUAGCUUGUUGGCGGGGUAACGGCCCACCAAGGCUACGAUCAGUAGGGGUUCUGAGAGGAAGGUCCCCCACAUUGGAACUGAGACACGGUCCAAACUCCUACGGGAGGCAGCAGUGAGGAAUAUUGGUCAAUGGGCGGGAGCCUGAACCAGCCAAGUAGCGUGCAGGAUGACGGCCCUAUGGGUUGUAAACUGCUUUUAGGCGGGGAUAAAGUGAGGGACGUGUCCUUCAUUGCAGGUACCGCAUGAAUAAGGACCGGCUAAUUCCGUG